UAGCCGCCGCCGCCACCGUAGCCGCCCUCACGGCGCCCGUAGCCGCCGCCGCCACCUCCUCCGUAGCCGCCGCCUCCACGACCGCCGCCGUAGCCGCCACCGCCGCCGCCGUAGCCCCCGCCUCCGCCGCCGGAGCGGCGGGACUGGGCCUCAUUGACGGUGAUGUUGCGGCCGUCGAGCUCCUUGCCGUUCAUGCCCUCGAUGGCGUCGCGCAUCGACUGCUCGGAGGAGAAGGUGACGAAGCCAAACCCACGUGACCUCCCCGUCUCCCUGUCGUUGAUGAUCUUGGAGUCGAGGAUCUCGCCGUAGGUGGAGAAGGCGGCCUCGAGGGAGCGGUCGUCGGUGGCCCAGGCGAGGCCGCCGACG
This 366-nucleotide unclassified non-coding RNA is filed under the name Hevea brasiliensis (rubber tree). Lineage: Eukaryota; Viridiplantae; Streptophyta; Magnoliopsida; Malpighiales; Euphorbiaceae. The record is from RNAcentral.